CCCUGCUUCUGCCGACGGCCGGGCUCGCCCUCGCCYCCCGGGACCCCCCGUCCGAGUGGACGGAGGGGGGGGGGUCCGAGUCGCACCGCUCCGGGGAAGGGUCCCCGCAUUUCCCCCUGCCCGGUUAUUUCUGGGGGGAUUUUGCGGCUCGCUGCUCUCUUUAGCUGCUCUUUUCCCUUCGCGUCCUUUCCGCCCGAGGUUUCCCGCUCCCUCGCGGSGUCCCGCGGGGCGAAGGUGGGCCGAGCUGAAGCAGCUUUUGCAGCGACAGAAAGUCUGUGCGUGCCCGCGCCUGCAGCCCGAGCCCGCCGCAAGGCCGACGGGCCCCGCCGCUGGUCGGGAUGGGUGCAAAGGCCCCGCAGAUGCUGCUCAAAAUGGGUGCAAAGCCCCCGCAGAUGCCGGUCGGGAUGGGUGCAAAGGCCCCGCAGAUGCUGCUCAAAAUGGGUGCAAAGCCCCCGCAGAUGCGGGUCGGGAUGGGUGCAAAGCCCCCGGAGAUGCGCGGCUUCGCUCCGGGAGCGGAGGCGCCCCGACGGCGCGGCCGCCCGCGGUCGCCGCUCCGCUCCCCGCGGCCGCAGCGGGAAAGCGGGUCCCAGAGGCGGCGAUCCCGGGCCUCUCCCCGUCCCCGGCUUCAAGGACCGGGMAUUUCUGCGGCGAGCGCUGCCCGCUGCGGUCCCCGCCGGUUCUCGUAGCCCGAGGCUGCGUGGCUCGGCCGCCUCCGCUGCAUUGCAGCCCCCCUGCACAGCCCGGCCCGCACCCGCCUUGGCGUCGGGGGGAAGAAGGACGGGGAAGCCUGGGGUAACACUUGGGGCAUCACCGGCUUUUGGAGGGUGCUGUGUUUCUCUCCUCAAAUGCACGGCAAGAUGCACCGGCCAAACUCCUCCGAGGGGCCAAACCCACCCCUGCGUGUUUAGACACCAGCCCCAGGGUUACAGGGCUGGUUUAGAGGGAGGUAUAACUCCCCCCACCCCCCCCCGGCCCUGCAGGGACCGGCCGCAAAACAAGUGUCGCUGGAAGAAACCGAACCGCGGCCCGGGAGAGAAAGUCCGGGUGUCGCAUSUCCCUGCAGGAGCGGGGGGGCCGUGCGCCCCCGCGUUGCCCGAGGUGCUGGGAGUCGGGGCGUCUGUGCACRGCCGCCCUCCCUCUGCCCUUCCUGCCCCUUAUUCCUCUCUCUCCUUCUUCCUUUYUUCCUUUCUUUCUUUCUUUCUGUCUCCCUCCUUCCUUUCCGCUCUCGCCAGACGCGCCGUUGCCGUCAGGAAUAUCCCGUUUUCCUGCGGUUUAGCAGCCAAAGCGGGCGGCCGGGCGCCCCGGCGGCGGAGCGCUGCGGGGCUGCGGGCGGCGACCCCCGGCAAACCGGUGCCGCCCGCGGCUCGGGCUACUGCUCCGAGCUGCCCCGGGCGAGCCCGGCUGGCCGAUAACCGCGGGGAUAAACGCCCCGACGGGGAGGCGGAUGGGGCAGCGAGAGCUGCCGGCGGGGCRGGGGGUGGGAAGGGGGAAGAGAGGCGGGCGGCCCUCCUGCUUGCCGCGCUGCCCAGCGCGGGUCGCACGGAGAGGGAAACUGAGGCAGGGGAGGCGCUGCCCUCCGUUUCCUGCGGCUCCCUGCACGGAGGGAAGCCGGGAAAGGCGCUUUCAGCCGGCGCUUUGCUUUGCUUUUUUGCUUUGCUUUGCUUUUUGCUUUGCUUUGCUUUGCUUUGCGGCUCCCUGUCUCCCCGCACCUGCGAAGAGACUGUGUGCGCAGGGCGGGGG
Apteryx haastii (Great spotted kiwi) is the source of this 1740-nucleotide long non-coding RNA. The record is from Ensembl. NCBI's taxonomy places the organism in Eukaryota, Metazoa, Chordata, Aves, Apterygiformes, Apterygidae.